UGGGGGAUAUUGCACAAUGGGCGAAAGCCUGAUGCAGCGACGCCGCGUGUGGGAAGACGGUCUUCGGAUUGUAAACCACUGUCUUCGGGGACGAUAAUGACGGUACCCGAGGAGGAAGCUCCGGCUAACUACGUGCCAGCAGCCGCGGUAAUACGUAGGGAGCGAGCGUUGUCCGGAAUUACUGGGUGUAAAGGGAGCGUAGGCGGGAGGCCAAGUUGAAUGUUAAAUCUACCGGCUCAACUGGUAGCUGCGUUCAAAACUGGUCUUCUUGAGUGAAGUAGAGGUUGGCGGAAUUCCUAGUGUAGCGGUGAAAUGCGUAGAUAUUAGGAGGAACACCAGUGGCGAAGGCGGCCAACUGGGCUUUUACUGACGCUGAGGCUCGAAAGCGUGGGGAGCAAACAGG
This 403-nucleotide ribosomal RNA is filed under the name uncultured bacterium. RNAcentral's name for it is "bacterial SSU rRNA". It matches the Rfam family "Bacterial small subunit ribosomal RNA", at positions 355 to 776 of the family's 1533-position model. The record is from RNAcentral.